GUAGUUCGCGGUCUGGAACGCGGUGAUUUGAAAAGGCAGAGCGGCGAAGAAAACCGACUUUAUGCCAGUUGAGAGAUAAUCACGAAAAUUCCUGCAAAGAGGACAAGAGGAAAGUUGACCCACGUUUCAUAAGAGUGUACGUAUAAGCUCUCUUGACAGAGAGAAAGAAGGAGUGGGAGCGGAAGAGUUACAAUGAAGCAGCGAGAGGGAGUGGAAACCCGUCAUGCACCACCUACGCGAGGACGGAGAAACCAGGAAGAGAAAGAGAUGCACGAACUGUGUAUACCAGGAACGAAGAAAGCUGACGAGAGAAAGAGAAAGAGAAAGAGAAGGAGAAAGAGUGAAAGAGGAAAAAAUGCGCGGAUUAUGGACAGGGAGGCAGUGACGCUCUGUACCUUCGGCGAUUCUCUUCUGUAGCGUUUUACCUGGGCGAAAGAAGCAAAGAAAAAGCAAGGGAAUAAAGGGACGGUGACGCGCUGCAUGCGCGAGCAAGGAAAGAAAACGCAAGCGAGUAACAAAGAGGCGAGAGAUUCCAGUUUGAUUCGUUAGAUGAGAACGCGUGACGAGAAACCAGCAUGAGUCUGAGAAGAAACAAAAAUUCACGCCGCAAAACCACCGCGCAUUUCUAUUCUUAGAUGAUCGAAAGAGAAAGGAGCCGAGAGAGGAGCGGAACAGGAGCGAGAGAAGGGAAAAGGGAAGCAAACGGAGACGGGAAAGGCCGGUUAACAAGACAGAAGGGAUACCACGACACCGUACGUGGUUCCAUGGUCGUUGGCUGAUACGUCGAAAUGAAAAGAGGAGGCAAGAACCAGAGGGAGAAUGGUUCUCGUAACCACAUUAUCACGGAUUUUCCUGUCGGUUCGUGGCUCGUCAACGAGGACGUGGCUUAAUCCAUUAUGUAGCUACUGUGUUGGCUCUUCAAGGCGGCUUUUCAAGCGUCGCGCACACAAAGACGCGCUUGCACACCCACUCCCGGCGCGGUGGCCUCUUCUGCCCGUCUAUCGUUCGAGCAAACAGUGAUAUUACCCGGCCAACACGACGACCACCACCACAGUCAACGACAGUACCACGCUCGCAAGAAACGCGAAGUCCGCUUUGCGUUCGUCGAGAUAUUUCGUAUAUUUCGGUUCACAAAACCAGAAUGGAAGCUGCAUACAGAAAUAAGAGAAAAGGUGAUGCGCGCAUCCACUCUCACAACGACUCCACUUUCGUUUCUCUGUGGACUUGACUAGAGAAAAAAGUCGGUAUAAAAGGAAACGCUCUAUCCUGCUAUUAUGCUAUACCAAUACGAUGUACCACGUUUCAUUCCUGUUUACUCAAAGGAGGACGCUCCGGUGAAACGAUUCCGUCGAUCAUCGGAAUCCCUGAGAUACGUAACAGGAAGGCACGAAGCAUGCUGUGGCUGUUGUGGAUCUGCCUCGUCAAGGCUAGGCAUCCAAACAAGAUUUAUGCUCGGCAAGGCAAAUACAACCAGCGUCGAUAUGUUUCGACCACGUGUUCGGAUUAUGCAAUAAACGUGACCAUCCUUUCAGAACGUGUCGUCGAAUCGUUUCUACUCUGGUCUUCGGUCUCCAGUUACUUCUGCUGACAAAUCACAAUCUCGAGACACAAGUAAAGAUAGACGUAAGACGUGCGAUCCGCGUAAAGGGACAGAAUCGUAAUUGCAUGUGACGUACGAUUUUGAAGUAGCGGGGGCUGUGGAGAAGGAGGAGGAGAUGAUGGUCGGAAACAAAUUCUGACUCUAAAUUCUCGAGAGGAGGCAAAGUGAGAGCACAAGGGAAAAAGCAGAAAGAGCGAAGUGACGGUACAGAAGCUAGGAAGCUUUUGUACGUUCAGCAUCGAGGGAGAGAGAAGGGAGAGAAAGGGCGAGGCUAAGCCGAACUAAGAAUGCGGGGGAGAGAACAACGUAGAGAGUAGGGCACGGAUGGCGAACAGCUGCCAGGGUCUAUGGUGGCCGUUUUGUGUGAACGUGCCCCCAUAACCCCCAUACUCCCUCCUUGCCCCGCUCUCUCGCUCUGUUGCUCCUACAGCCACUGGAAGCCCUCGUGUAUACUAUACAGUCAUCCAUCUAUCCCUUGCUCUCCCUGCUUUGCAAAGAAUAAAAGCGCGCUCGCGACGCACGUGGAAGUGUACGCCCGCUGUUAAUCUAUGUGUCCAAUCGAACCGAAAAUCUCCACGGAAAAUAUUUCUCCUAAAGGAAAUCAUCGUGGACGAGCAUCGGAAGGACAGCUCUUUCUCCUCGACCAUCGGGCCAACAAUCGCAUGAGGAAUCGUCUUACAAUGAAGAACGUCACGGCGAAACAUCGUUGACGAGCAAAGAAUUAUACAAUGUCAUCCUGGCUGUCGUGUUCGUGAAAAGAUUGCUUCUAGUUUUCCAGAAGCUACGCUUGUCUCGAAAUAUCGCGCAUCGACCAUAGGUCAUCGAAUCGAACGUGAACAUGAUGAAAAUCGUCGAUCACUCUAUGUAUCUGUCUAUCUAUCGAACAAUCUAUGAGAAAAGCAAAAGUAUUACGAACGUAAGUGUUAGAUAACAGCAAGCGACGGCUGUAUCGCGCGUUAGGGCAGCGAUAUCAGCUUCUUAACGCUAAAUCAAUGCUCUUCUCGUCAACCCUCUUUUUCCAUUAAGGCUUUGCCAUGAUCCAAUCUACUCGACGCUGGCUACCGAACGACAAGGACGAUUAAAGGACCCAGUAAACGAGCACUUAUCGCAUCGUCGACUAAAUGAAACGUAGCAGUUUGGAGAAUCGAUCGAUUUCUCGAAAGCAGUCUGAUAGCCGAUUUACAAUUUUACAAAAGACGAAGGGAAGAUUAUUUUGUAACAAUUCCCUUUUUGGAAGGGACAGAAGUAAGAAAAUUCUUCGAGAAAUAAUUUUAUAUUCUUUUAGUAGUAAACGUGAGUUUUGAACGGUAAAUUUUUGUUGAUGCGAGUGACGCAAUAAAUUAUUAUAACGCGAUAUCUCGACAACCAUGGAAGCACCAGUAUGUUGGCGAACACGAUGGAGACACGCAAGAAGAAACAUCGGAGCGCGUCGUUUUGUUCGGCAACGGUAACAUUGUUGAAACAUGAGAAGAUAUUGUCCACUUGACAACGGAGCCAUGGCUUGGAAGAGAAUCACUCUGGGUGCACGUGAUGCCCAACCGAUACACGCCGGCCUCUCUGCCUUUUCGUUCUGCCUCUAGAAGAUGGUCGAUGCCUCGUGCCCGUUCGACAAGUUCUUGAUACACGAGCAAAGUGUCGUUUCGAGAAUCCACUACCAAACUAAAAUACCGGUCUGAAUCGUUCAUCGAACAAAAGAAUUUCGAGCAAUUUCGUGGAGCAAUCUGAAACGAGAAUCGUAGACAAAAGACAAAUGGAGCGAGAAGUCGAAUAGAGUCGAAAAAUAGUUAGGCGAUUGUUUCGCGAGUUCAGUCGCUGCUCAUCGCGCACGGUUGAAUCUCUUCCUUUUCUUUUUUCUUGCACGUUGAAAUUCCAACUCGGAUCUAAAACGAUCGAAACGUUUCGUAACGUUCGCCAGGUAGGCAGCCGAAGAAGGAGAAGAGGAAGAAGACGACGAAGAAACAAAGCAAAUGGAGAAAAAGAAGGUGAACGGAGAACGGGUAGAGGGGGGCUUUCGAGAAGUAGGAGGAGGAGGCGAUGGUGGUGGAGGAUUGAAAUGGACGAAGGGAGGUUCGAGAAAAGGCAGUCCUCGGGGCUCCUUGUCCCCGACGUUUAAUUUCAGGCAGUCGAAGGAGCUCGUAACAUCUCCGCCGUGUUUAAUAUCGAGAAGAGGGCCUUGGGAAGAAGAUGCCCGUGAUCAACCCAGAACCAGUUCUCGCGCCUUAAACGGACGGUUCUCACGCAUUUAUGGCCCUUCAUCACGCUUUCCAUUCGACCUAAUUGCCGCAAUCGAGCUCCGUGAGAACCACUGUCUCUCGUGUACCGUUUUGCAGGAAAUUGGAAUACCUACAUCGCGUAAUCGCGCCAAAAUCGAACCGCUGUUCCAACGAUUCGAAACAGUUUCGUUCAAAAGACGAUAACGAGACACGACAAACGACCGGUUAUUUAAUAAGAACGAAGAAAGGGAAACGAUCAUCAAGUUGUAGAGAUUGCGGUAAAUACUAUCAACGAUAAUGCGAAACAAAAGAAACUAGAAUUGAAUAGUGUUUAUCGCGUAACAAUGGUUGAGAAUUACUGCUCGUUACGAGAUACGAUCGUUUCGUGAUCAAUAAUACGACCGUACAACCGGUAUAAAAGAAGGCGACUCGGUUAACUUGAACGUUAAUGAGUCAUUCGAGAGUUGUGUUUGACACGUAUCCGAUACUUAAUUACAUCGCUCUACCGAAUAGCGUUAACUUUUAACAAAUUUACCGGCCGUGUAACAAUUACUCGUGUACGAUGAGUCCGAUUUUUCCUGGUCACCGUUUUCUUUUCUUCUGGUUACAUAUUUCACUACGUAGUCGUCGCUACGCCUCUACUCGUCAGCUAUGAACGCGACUCUCGAAACGUAAGACUGGAAACCGAGGUUUACGCUAGCGGAACAAAGAAAGUCAAUGCCGUGACGUUUCCACGAGCUUUUUUACGGUUUACUCUAAAUCCCGUUACGCGAGAUUUCGCCUCGAUCGCGCUGAAUUAUUAAAAAGAUGCGACAAACCGUAUCGAAACCGGGUCGAUAACCGGCGCUCUAUACGUCCAAUCGAACAAAGACCGAACUCGCUGCGAGUAACAAUCGCAAGAAUUCGACGCCAGCCAGCCUCCCGUUCCACGUAAAACCGUAAUCUCCGAACCGACUCUCGUUCGUCGUAAAGUGACGAGAAAAUCGCGACUAUUCAUGCUUGACCGCUCCGGAAUAUGAAAUUUUAUUUCAUCGUCUGCGCUGCGUUUCUCUGAUCGCGAUCGUUCCCAGUUAAAGAAGAAUGUACGUAGCCAAUUACCACGGACGAAGGAAAUACUACCGUUUAAUCGGAUCAUCGUUUAAUGCGUAAUCGGAAUGGUAUUUAACCCGUUCCCGUAUACCAAAUCACACACUCGUGACUGAUUAUAGUUAAAUCAGCAACAAGUAAAAAUUAUAUUCUAACCGAAUAUCUGUUUUCAUUUGAAACUUUAUUUCACUUCAUAAAAGAAUAAAUCGAGCAAUGUAAUAUAAUAUACGAUAGUCAUAGCCAUUGUGCGUUAAAUAUAAAUAGUCAAGUUUAACGAAUAUAGCCAUAAGACAAAUAAGAAGGCAGGGAAUUCACGCAACAUUGUAUCGUAAUUUGAUAGCUUUAUCGUUAUUUCGGGUUUUUUCUUCGUCGUACGAUUCCGUAGUCGAGGAGUACCCCAGCUCGCCGACACGAAAGUCGUCGUCGAGGAAAAAGAAGGUAUACGCCAGGGGAUAGAGAGGAUACCACUCGAAUAGGAACCGGAACUCACGGUCCGUGCUCAGAAUUGACUACACGAUUGCACAUGUACAGCCGUGCAUAUGAAUCAGAUAAAAGAGUGCCAGAGGAGUUCUUAGGAGCGCAACGGGCGGAGAGAGUUUAUCGGCUCCGUCAUUGAUUUCUUUGUCGCGCGAAGAUAAAUCUCCGUAUCAUAUCAAGGGAAGAGAACACGCGCGCUCGCACGAACACGCACCCAUUGGUCAUUGAAGGCGAGUACUUUCAAAACCGUAGAGACCAAAUCGAAAAUCGUCUAACAAGUCGAGACCCAACGAUUGAUAACAGAGACUUUCCAUCUAGCGAGCAUCGCGAUGUUGCACUGCCGACUUUACAGUCUAUCGCAUUCGUAUAAACACUACCGGCCUUUUAACUUACUGCGCCGUUAUCUAGAGCGAAUCUCCUGCUCCGCGAAUAAUUCGACGUA
This is a long non-coding RNA of Bombus terrestris (buff-tailed bumblebee), 5818 nucleotides long. RefSeq lists it as uncharacterized. The record is from RefSeq and is a predicted model, not a curated record. The transcript is spliced from 2 exons. Lineage: Eukaryota; Metazoa; Arthropoda; Insecta; Hymenoptera; Apidae.